This 1341-nucleotide ribosomal RNA is filed under the name Triticum aestivum (bread wheat). Its description in RNAcentral is "partial small subunit ribosomal RNA". Lineage: Eukaryota; Viridiplantae; Streptophyta; Magnoliopsida; Poales; Poaceae. The record is from RNAcentral.
AUGCCGCUAAACCUCGUACCUACUGCUGGAAUGAAGUUCACCACGUACGACAAGGCAUGGGACUUUUACAACAAUUAUGUAAGAUGUGCAGGGUUUGGCAUACGCAAGAGGGAAAAACACAGGACAAAUGCCUACAUUGUCUGCUCAAGAGAAGGGACGCACAAGCAGACUGUGUCAGAUUAUCACCGGGUACGUUAGAAGAUAUCAAAAAGGAUUGGCUGCAAGGCAAAGAUUAGAGUGAAAAAGAGGAAGGAUGGCAAAUUUAUGAUAGAAAUGGUUCGACUCAACCACAAUCACAAGAUGCUGGAAAGCCCCGGGAUGCUUUUGCACAUGCGAUUGCACAAAAAAGAUGAUCCUUUGAUAGACCUGUUAGUGAAAGACAUGCAACUGGACAACCACACACAUGCUCAGAUGAUGUCGACGCUGUCGCGCAUGUCCGGUGGUCUGUAGUACAUGGGACAUACUAGCCGCGCCUGGGUAAACAAGAAACAGAAGUUUGCCAGAGAAGAGUCCGAAGAUGAUGUCAAGAAACUUCUGGAUUUCUUCGAGAAAAUGCAAAAGAUAAACCCAGAGUUCUUCUAUGAUUAUGACGUUGAUGCAGAUAACCGUGUAAGAAACAUCUUUUGGGUGAACGCAAGUUGCAAAGCAUCGUAUGAAGAUUUUGGACACCGCGUUACAUUUGACACGACGUAUAAAACUAACAAAUUCCACAUGCCGCUAGGAGUCUUCGUGGGAGUGAACCAUCAUCUACAGAGCACCAUAUUUGUUGUUGCCCUCGUGCAAGAUGAAACAAUACCAUCAUUCAAGUGGGUUUUCGAAACCUUUCUGAGGUGUAUGAACAACAAGCCGCCAAUCUGCAUGCUCACAGACCAGUGUUCUUUGAUGAAGGCAGCAUUAAAAACUAUCCUCCCACAUACUCUGCAUAAGCUGUGUCGGUGGCAUAUCAUGAAGAAGUACAAAGACCACCUCGCCUUGCUGUAUAAGGCGCACGAGAAACUCAAGGAUGAACUCAAUGCGGUGCUGAACCACCCACUAAUGCCGUCAGAAUUUGAACAAGCAUGGAAGAACCUCAUUCAGAGAUACAACUUGCAGGACGACGAAGUGAUGAAUUCGCUGUGGGAUGACAGGCACAAGUGGAUCUCGGCUUACUACAAGGAAAUUGUUUGUGCUCGGAUGACUUCCACACAGAGAAGCGAGAGCAUGAACCGCGUACUGAAGAUUUUUUUUUCCAAGGAGAAGCAUGAUCUCCAUCUAUUUGCUCAGCAGGUAGAUAAGUGCAUUCAGACCAGGAAGGCCAUCGAGCACGCAGAGACAGUAGCAAAUGAGGUAAACAAAAUGUGA